CAUAGAUUACUGAUCCUCAUCACAAGAGGAUUACAAGGAAAAGAUACCGGAGCGUCGAGUGGACAAGCCGGUGGCGAUUCGCGUUGAAGGGCGUGCACUAAAGGUGACAAUGGGGAUCUUACGGAUGGCGAUCAAGCA
Molecule: long non-coding RNA, 138 nt
Organism: Helianthus annuus (common sunflower)
Lineage: Eukaryota; Viridiplantae; Streptophyta; Magnoliopsida; Asterales; Asteraceae
Exons: 3
Source: RefSeq, a predicted model, not a curated record